Long non-coding RNA from Biomphalaria glabrata, 260 nucleotides. RefSeq lists it as uncharacterized. Lineage: Eukaryota; Metazoa; Mollusca; Gastropoda; Planorbidae. The transcript is spliced from 4 exons. The record is from RefSeq and is a predicted model, not a curated record.
CGUCCACCACGUGUUAGUGAUGCUACUACUUAUGCAGGUCAAAGACAAACUAAAGUUCAAGGACAAGCAAAAGGUCAAAAGGCGAAGUUAACUGCUAGAGUUAGAGGCUGAAUCAAACAAGAAAAAGUCGCAAGAUACCAUCCAGACAACAACAGACUAAUGUUGAGAGCAAACUGUAAUUGAAGAUCUGACAAUUUAGUGUUUGUGUUUGUCUUCCUAGUGAUUUUGAAUCUUGCUCUCUUAACAUAAAACUUUUUUUU